AUUGAACGCUGGCGGCAGGCUUAACACAUGCAAGUAGAGCGAGCGGCGGACGGGUGAGUAAUGUCUGGGAAACUGCCUGAUGGAGGGGGAUAAAUACUGGAAACGGUAGAUAAUAACGAAUCCCAUAAGAUGUGCCCAGAUGGGAUUAGCAAGUAGGUGGGGUAAUGGCUCACCUAGGCGACGCUCCAUAGCUGGUCUGAGAGGAUGACCAGCCACACUGGAACUGAGACACGGCCCAGACUCCUACGGUAGGCAGCAGUGUGGAAUAUUGCACAAUGGGCGCAAGCCUGAUGCAGCCAGGCCGCGUGUGUGAAGAAGGCCUUCGGGUUGUAAAGCACUUUCAGCGAGGAGGCGUUACUCGCAGAAGAAGCACCGGCUAACUCCGUGCCAGCAGCCGCGGUAAUAC
This 406-nucleotide ribosomal RNA is filed under the name uncultured bacterium. Its description in RNAcentral is "partial 16S ribosomal RNA". It matches the Rfam family "Bacterial small subunit ribosomal RNA", at positions 30 to 526 of the family's 1533-position model. The record is from RNAcentral.